RNAcentral lists this small RNA (29 nucleotides) under Bombyx mori (domestic silkworm). RNAcentral's name for it is "piRNA piR-bmo-1730480". Lineage: Eukaryota; Metazoa; Arthropoda; Insecta; Lepidoptera; Bombycidae. The record is from RNAcentral.
UCCAUUCCGUCUUCAACAGGAUCCUCUGC